GCUGGGCGUGGUGGCGCAUGCCUGUAGUCCCAGCUACUCGGGAGGCUGAGGCAGGAGAAUCGCUUGAACCCAGGUUGCUUGCUGCAACCUCCACCAUUGUACUCCAGCCUGGGCAACAGAGUGGUACUCUGCCUCAA
Molecule: non-coding RNA, 137 nt
Filed under: Homo sapiens (human)
Lineage: Eukaryota; Metazoa; Chordata; Mammalia; Primates; Hominidae
Source: Rfam by way of RNAcentral